Xiphophorus couchianus (Monterrey platyfish) is the source of this 796-nucleotide long non-coding RNA. RefSeq lists it as uncharacterized. The record is from RefSeq and is a predicted model, not a curated record. Lineage: Eukaryota; Metazoa; Chordata; Actinopteri; Cyprinodontiformes; Poeciliidae. The transcript has 2 exons.
CUGCACAAAAUAAGGAACCCGUAUUUUAUUUUGGCGGGUCAAACUGACAGCACCCUUUAAGUUACGGGUCACAGGUGACUCGGAUCUCAAUCGCUGUUGCUGCUGUGGCUGUGGCCAGCUGCUCGUCUCGGCGUCUUCUAAACUUAUAGAAGAAUACGGCUGGAUCGAGGCUUACUAAAAAGGCCGAAGGAUUAAAUUGGGUGUUUCCUGUCGACCGCUCGACGGUCAGGUUUUUUCCCACCCCCUGUGUCACGUCAGGAUGGCGAGCUACCGGAUCACCGCAGCUUCGCGGUAGGAUUUAAAUGAACCAAGCUAUUUUUUCAUUCUGGACCUAUUUGCUCUGGAUCUUGAAAAAAAAGAAAACAAUCAGAUAUUGAUUGAUGGACUAUUGAUCACCUUGGAUUCAUGAAUGGACCAAAAUAGAAACUCUUGGGUGACAUCAGGGUUUAUUGUUUUGUUGCUGAGUGCUUGUUUUUUUUCCUUGUUGUGUUUUUGGUUAUAUUAUAGAAAAUCACUGUUAUUAUAAAUAUUAUUAUUAUUGCAUAUCUUCAUAUAUAUAUAUGAAAGAAAAAAACAAGUUGAAUACAAUAACUUAAACAUACUUUUGUCUAAUGGUAUUUUAUUCACACCCACGGGCUCCAUAGCCGAAUCUAUCUGAGCGCCAUUUGUUAUAUUUGGCCGUAGUCAGGCGCCUAGCCUUAAGUAGCGUUGCACGUGGCGAGCUAGCCAGGAGCUUGUGUGUGUGAAUAUUUUUUUUGGGCUACUUAUCAUUUUUGAACAUUUAUUUCAGUCUUGG